CUAUCGAUUGCACUAUCGAUAGUAUCGAUGGUUUUUGACUAUCAAAAACAUUGGUGGUUUUGUAAGCACUAUCGAUGGUUUUCACUCAUACAUGCAUUAUGAGU
Rhagoletis zephyria (snowberry fruit fly) is the source of this 104-nucleotide long non-coding RNA. RefSeq lists it as uncharacterized. Lineage: Eukaryota; Metazoa; Arthropoda; Insecta; Diptera; Tephritidae. The record is from RefSeq and is a predicted model, not a curated record.